UAUGCGCUAAUAUAAAGAAGGGGAUGUCAAUAUUUUAGCAUACCCACAAUCCUCUGCCUGGUGCCCGUCGCGAUGGUCUGUAUUGUGUGUGACAGUUUACGUAUCAAGACAGAAAUCUCGCUUCAUCGGCUUCGUCUUUCCUCUAAGUGACUAAAUUCCAAGUAAAUCUUAUCCCUGCUGUGCCCGGCAAGCCGCUUGCUGAGAGCAUGGAGCUGCAACAGCCACACGUGUCAGAAGACACACUCUGGAAGUUAUGGUAUUCGAACGAUCCACCGCCAAGACCGUCAGUGUACCGCUACGAAGCGUCCCUCUCCCCGACUCGUUGUUAUUCUUCACACACCUGAUGUCGCCCACUCCUCCCCUUAACUCCCCGAUCUAACCCUUCCCCAAGCUUCCCAGCCCGCCUCUCAGACCGUCCUCUCCACCUGUGCCAUCAAACAUUCGAAAUUUUCCCUCCGGCGGCGUCUUCGGCGGGAACAAGUGAAAGACGAGUUGGAGGAGGAAUAGAAGUUGAGGAGUGGGAGCAGAAUAAGAGAGAGUUUGAAGAGGAGCUGGGCAAGAAAAAUGAUAAUGAUGAAUAUUAACGAAGCAAAAAUGGGAAGCAGUGAGGAGGAAUACUUGGACAGGAAGAACGUCGCAAGAAAAAAAAUUAAAUAAUAAUGAAUAACCAAAAAAAAAAAAAAAAAAAAUCAGAAAGCAGAUAGACUGCAUCAAACAUGACAAAGAGUGAAGAAUAUCGAAAUACGUUAUUUUCCUUAACAGCAACAGAAGAGAAAACAUGAAACAAAGAGUGGCACAUCAAAGAAAAUAGAUAUAUCAGAAAAAUGAAGAAAUAAAAAAAUAAUAAAAAAA
Long non-coding RNA from Scylla paramamosain (green mud crab), 852 nucleotides. RefSeq lists it as uncharacterized. Lineage: Eukaryota; Metazoa; Arthropoda; Malacostraca; Decapoda; Portunidae. The transcript is spliced from 3 exons. The record is from RefSeq and is a predicted model, not a curated record.